GACGAACGCUGGCGGCGUGCUUAACACAUGCAAGUCGAACGAUGAAGCCGGAGCUUGCUCUGGUGAAUUAGUGGCGAACGGGUGAGUAACACGUGAGUAACCUGCCCUUGACUCUGGGAUAACUGCGGGAAACUGUAGCUAAUACCGGAUACGACCCUCGGAGGCAUCUCCUGGGGGUGGAAAGAAUUUCGGUCAAGGAUGGACUCGCGGCCUAUCAGCUAGUUGGUGAGGUAAAGGCUCACCAAGGCGACGACGGGUAGCCGGCCUGAGAGGGUGACCGGCCACACUGGGACUGAGACACGGCCCAGACUCCUACGGGAGGCAGCAGUGGGGAAUAUUGCACAAUGGGCGCAAGCCUGAUGCAGCGACGCCGCGUGAGGGAUGAAGGUCUUCGGAUUGUAAACCUCUUUCAGUAGGGACGAAGCGAAAGUGACGGUACCUAAAGAAGAAGCACCGGCUAACUACGUGCCAGCCGCCGCAGUAA
RNAcentral lists this ribosomal RNA (484 nucleotides) under uncultured bacterium. RNAcentral's name for it is "partial 16S ribosomal RNA". It matches the Rfam family "Bacterial small subunit ribosomal RNA", at positions 28 to 523 of the family's 1533-position model. The record is from RNAcentral.